Molecule: ribosomal RNA, 253 nt
Filed under: uncultured bacterium
Lineage: Bacteria
Description: partial 16S ribosomal RNA
Rfam family: Bacterial small subunit ribosomal RNA
Source: RNAcentral
UACGUAGGGUGCGAGCGUUGCCCGGAUUUAUUGGGCGUAAAGGGCGCGUAGGCGGGCCAUCAAGUCAGGGGUGAAAGCCCCCAGCUCAACUGGGGAAGUGCCUCUGAUACUGGUGGCCUCGAGGGAGGUAGGGGCGUGCGGAACUUCCGGUGGAGCGGUGAAAUGCGUAGAUAUUCGCAAGAACACCAGUGGCGAAGGCGGCUCACUGGCCCGAUACUGACGCUGAGGCACGAAAGCGUGGGGAGCAAACAGG